GAAGCCUCCAAGACGAACAAAGCCCAACCAAGGAUUGGGCUUUCAAGUGAUAGGAGGAGACGAAAUGAGCUCGCCGGCGUCCAUGGGUUUUCGAGGCUGUUUGACCUUGAUUCGCCAUCCACAAUGAACGGAGAGCCUCCCCACCACUAUGAACGACGUCCAUGGCAAGAGCACUCGUGCCUCCAUUUAUCUUUGUGAGAUAUAUAUAUAUAUGUAUAUAAUUCAUUUUAGAGAAAAGUGAUAACUUUCUGUGUGUGUGUGUGUGUUUUUUUUUUAAAUUUUAUUUUUAUUAAUGGUUCUUUGUUGCAGUUCCACCAGUACCAGGUUGUGGGAAGGGCUCUCCCUACCGAGUCUGAUGAAGCUUUGGGCCACCAAUGAGUUCAGCACCAAGUCCAAAUUCUGGUAAGCCAAGGUUUUGAUUGUGAUUUUGAGAUCUUUUAGCUUUGUUAUUGGAUUUAGGGGAUUCUAGACAUGUCUUUUUAAUUUGGGUUAUCGAUUUUUUUUGUUUUUGUUUCUAUUGAUUGAUUUUUGAUAUGAGCUUUUAUAUCAAAAAUUCUGUUUGUGUUUUUCAUAUGAGCUUUUAUGGGUUUUGAUUUCAUAACUUCUUGCUGUAGGGACAUUGUCAUCCAAAAAUCAUGAAAGCAUUACAAGAACAGGCAGAAAGGCUCACCCUUAGCUCUCGAGCAUUCCAUAAUGAUAAAUUUUCAAUAUUUGUUGAGCGUCUAAUAGAAAUGUUCGGAUAUGACAUGGUGCUGCCUAUGAACACUGGUGUUGAAGGUGUAGAAACAGCUCUGAAGUUGGCCAGGAAAUGGGGUUACGAGAAGAAGAAAAUUUCGAAAGAUAAGGCUAUCAUCGUAUCAUGCUGCGGAUGCUUCCAUGGUCGUACGUUAGGCGUCA
Humulus lupulus (European hop) is the source of this 897-nucleotide long non-coding RNA. RefSeq lists it as uncharacterized. Lineage: Eukaryota; Viridiplantae; Streptophyta; Magnoliopsida; Rosales; Cannabaceae. The record is from RefSeq and is a predicted model, not a curated record. The transcript has 2 exons.